RNAcentral lists this long non-coding RNA (11154 nucleotides) under Populus tremula. RNAcentral describes it as "long non-coding RNA (PTRE_LNC002895)". Lineage: Eukaryota; Viridiplantae; Streptophyta; Magnoliopsida; Malpighiales; Salicaceae. The record is from RNAcentral.
UCCUUAAGGUUGGUGUGAGAAUGAGCCGCGGAGAAGCAGAGAACAAACUGAUUACUCGUGAUGAGAUAGAGAAAUGCUUGUUGGAGGCCACAGCGGGACCUAAGGCAGUGGAAAUGAAGGAGAAUGCAAUGAAAUGGAAGGAGGCAGCGGAGGCAGCAGUGGCUGAGGGUGGUUCCUCCGACUGGAAUAUACGAUAUUUUACGGAAGAUAUUGUAAAAGCGAAUGAGUCUGAGAUUGCAGGGAAGUGCAAUGGUUCUAAUGAGUUUCCAGUGUCGGUAGUGGUGAAGUCCAUUGAGAAAGUGGCUGAACUGGUGGGGUCAUCGGCAUGAGGGGAUUUGCUUUAUAUGCAGUGAAUAUGGAACUGGUCUAAUCCACUGUUAGUAUGAUGAAAUUAGUCUUGUUAUGUACUUGUCUACUUUUUACUUCUUUUAAUUAGAUAUUAAUAAUAUACAGUAAAGGCCAAAUGCCAUAUGUAUGGUUGUUAUCGAAUUUCUGUACUUUCCUAUUUAUAAUUUGCUAAAAUCUUAUUCGUUUGAAUUGCUUGUAAUGGUUGUUGAAAAUUAAAAUUGUUGUAAUAUUUUUAGUUUUUAUUAUAUUUAUGAUUGUCUUAUGAUUUGAGUAUAAAUUUCAUUAUAUCUAGGAUUUUUAUAAUGUCGAGCAUUAUUCAAAACUCAAAGAAAUUAUUAGAACCGUAUGGGUUGAUAUUUUAAGAAAGUAAGUGAUAGAUUAUCAAGUGGGCGGAGGACAACAAAUUCUAAACUUUCUAGUUUUGAAAAUAUAGUGUCUCAAUGAUUUUUUCAGUCUUCAAGAAAGGAUCAUGCAUGGUUAAGAAUUUAACAUCACAACUCUUGAACGUGAUCUAGAAUUAUAUUGGCAAAUAUUUGAAUUUUUAGUUAAUAAUUCUGACAAUAUUCAAAGAGUAUAUAUACAUUGAUCUUGGCCCAUAUGUACAUCUUAGUCAUGCAGAUGGAGCACAAUAUCGAAGGUUUCAAUAUAAGCCAUUUAAGCAUAUUUUUGGCUUGAGUAUUCUGUUGCCAAAGAUAUGACAUUUUGUUUUCCUUGCUUUCAUUUUAAUAAUGAAUAACAUAAAAGAGAGACUCAUCAUUCCAAUACAUAUAGCACGUCUAUAAGGAAUCGAGGGUUUCGGGCUCCUCGAUAGUUGCUCCCAGUAUAAUGAUCAGUCACCUGCUAGAAAGAAAAAUAUAUAGCUUUGAGCAAACGACAGUAAUUGUAGGACGCAAGUGAAGUGAAUUGGGUUGAUAUUGGGUUCGUUAUACAACAAAUAAUGCAAGGUAAGGGCGGUUUCUGCUAAGAAACGUGAACAGUGGAGGUUGCACGCAGAGAAGGAGAAGAGGAAAAUAAAGGAGGUGGAAACUGACCUGCAGUGGCGGUGCUGUUGUUGAUGGUGGGCGAAGAUGAGGACUGGCGGAGGACGCUGCUGGUUGUUUUUCCUCUUUCUCAGUAUUUUCCUUUUGCCUUUCUUCUCUUAUCUUUUCUCCUUCCCUCUGUUUUUCUGUUCUUCUUCUUUUGUUCUCUAGCGGUGGUAAUGCUACUGGUGGCGGCGUUGUGGCUGCUGGCGAUGGUUCCCGGCGAGGAAAGGUUCUUCUUCCUAACUAGGUGGCUGUGCAAUAGGGAGCUGUUGUGUGUGCCGGUCGACAGUUCUUUUUCUGUGUGUUUAUCCAGGAAGGUUCUUCUGAUGGGCUGCAUAUAUACUUGGGCCCAUCCAGGAAGGGACGUGCCUGUCAUUUUAGCAAAUAAACUGUACCCCUCCUCCUUAUUAUUUACUAGAUUUUUUUUUUUCAUCUUUUUUUAUUUUUUUUUAAUUUUAAUUUUAUUGUUUAAUAUUUUUUUUUAUUAAAGAUGAAGUUUUAUAAUUUAUAUAAUUUAUUUUUUAUAAAGUUAUGUAACAUGAACACAUAACUUUUUAAUUUAAAAAGAUCAUUUAUUGAUGUGAUUAUUUUUUAAUUUUAUUUAUAUAAUUAUUUUGAUGUGUUAAUAUUAAAAAUAAAUUUUAAAAUAUAUAAAAUAUAUAUAUUAUUUUAAUUUUUUUUUAAAAAAAUAACUUUUAUUACAAUGAUUGAGUACUAAUAAAGUGCAUCGAGAAUCUUAAAGUGGAUCGAAAUUUUUAAAAUAAGAUAUAACAAUCACAAUCACUUUUCAACGAUGAUGAUUACUCGUUUUAAUUUUUUCUUUUUUUUUUCUUCAUGAUGAACUUUUAAAACUUUUAUUUAUUUAUUUCUAUUUUUUUUUUUAGAUUUGAUACACGAUUACGAUUAACACUUUGAUUUGAGUUUUGUCAUUUUAUCUUUUUAGUUUUUUUAGAAUGCGUUUGGGAGUGUGGUUGUUAUUACUUUUUAAAUUAUUUUUUAUUUUAAAAAAUAUGUUAAUAAUUUUUUUUUAUUUUUUAAAAAUUAUUUUAAAAAUUAAUACAUUAAAAUAAUUUAAUAACAUCAAAAAUAUAUUAAUUUAAAAUAAAAAAAUUUAAAUUUUUUAAAAAUCACUUUUUAAUAACAAUUCCAAACCCCCUCUUAUCUUUUUAGUUUUUUUAAAGUGUGUUUGAGAAUGUAAUUGUUGUUAUUUUUAAAUUAUUUUUUAUUUUAAAAAAUAUAUUAAUAAUUUUUUUUAUUUUUUAAAAAUUAUUUUUAAGAUUAAUACAUCAAAAUAAUUUAAAAAUAUUAAAAAUAUAUUAAUUUAAAAUAAAAAAAAUUUAAAUUUUUUAAAAAACAAGCAAUUCCAAACCCCCUCUUAUCUGCAUACCCACAAUGCCAGGCGUCAUUGCCUGCGUCUAUACUUUGCUGAGUUGUCCUUCGUGAUUUUUCCAUAUACAGUGAUUUGUCCAUCGCCUGCCCUCCUUAACCUCAUCUCUCUUUCUCGCGCUCGUUGUGUGAACUGUGAAGUCAUAGAAGUCUUGAAGGAAAACAAAGAAGAAGAAAUUCAUGUGCUAAUGGCGGCACUCUCAUCUCAGGGUCACUUAAACCCCAUGCUUAGACUAGGUAAACGCUUAGUCAAUAAAGGUCUCCAUGUCACACUGGCCACCACUGAAUUCACCGGUCACCGCAUGCUCAAAUCUUCCACCAUCAACCCCACCUCCUCCCCCAUCUCAAUCUCUGGAGUCCAAGUUCGCUUCUUCUCUGAUGGUCAAAGCCUAAACUACGACCGCAUGGUUAAUUACGAAUCGUACAAGAAGAGUUUAGCCAAAUUUGGAACCAUCAAUCUCUCAAACCUUAUAAAGGAGCAUUUCCCCAGUAAUGGUCACAAAAAGCUCUCUUGCAUCAUCACCAACCCAUUUGUUACCUGGGUAGCUGAUGUUGCCAUCAAUCAUGGAAUUCCCUGUGCCAUGUUUUGGAUACAGCCAUGUUCACUUUAUGCCAUUUAUUAUCGCUUUUACAAUAAGCUAAACUCAUUUCCUACUUUAACAGAUCCUGAUAUGAGUGUUGAGUUGCCAGGCUUGCCACUGUUAUACAGAAGAUUUACCUUCCUUUGUUCUUCCUUCAAUUCCAUUUGGUAGCUUGCCUAAAAUGUUCCCAGAGAUGUUCCAGAACAUGAAGAGGUAUAAAUGGGUUCUUGGGAACUCAUUCUUUGGGCUUGAGAAAGAUGCUAUUGAAUCCAUGGCUGAUCUCUGCCCUAUUAGUCCCAUUGGCCCUCUAGUUCCUCCAUCACUUCUUGGUGAAGAUGAAGAUCACGAUACGGGUGUCGAGAUGUGGAAAGCAGAAGAUACUUGCAUUGAUUGGUUAAACAAGGAAGCCCCUUCUUCAGAUAUACGUAUCUUUUGGAAGCCUUGUUGUCUUAUCAGCAAAACAAAUGGAGUGCAUAGCAAAAGCCCUGAAGAACAGUAACAGUCCAUUUAUUUGGGUGGUUAAGCAACCAGACUUACCAGAACCUGAUGGUGCAGGACAAUUGCCAUUAGGGUUCUUGGAGGAGACGACAGACCAAGGGGUGGUUGUAUCAUGGUCUCCACAAACCAAAGUUUUAGCCCACCCAGCUAUUGCGUGUUUUAUAACUCACUGUGGAUGGAAUUCUGUGUUAGAAACAAUUGCUGCAGGCGUGCCGGUGAUUGCAUACCCCAAGUGGAGCGACCAGCCAACAAAUGCAAAACUUAUUGUUGAUGUUUUUCGCAUUGGUCUAAGGCUUAGAGCAAAUCAAGAUGGGAUUGUUAGCAACGAGGAAGUUGAAAGAUGUAUUAGAGAGAUCAUGGACGGACCAAAGUCUGUGGAGCUUAAAUCCAAUGCAAGGGAAUUGAGGAUCGCGGCAAGAGAGGCAGUUGCCGGUGGUGGUUCAUCGGACAAGAAUAUUCUGUUGUUUGUAGAUGAAAUUAUUGAGAGUUGUGGUUCAAUUGAAGUAUGCAAUGUAGAAUGCAAGGUUCCUCAUCAAUAUACACAAGGCAACGAAGGCCAAUAAUUGUGAUUGGAUAAUGCUAGGAUUACUGCGUUUUUUUAUUAAGUUUUGUUUAAUUACCUGUUAUUUAUUCCAAGGAAAGAAUUUCAAAUCAUGAAAUGUAGAUCAUAUCAUAUUUAAGACUAUGUUACUCUACUUUUAGCACUAACAAUGGUAAUUUUUCUAACCGGACUGAAGAAAUAUACGUGGUCUGGAUGUGCGAAAACCGAUGCUAUUAAAAUAAAAUAAAAUAAAAUAAUGCUCUAUAUAUUGAUAUUGAUGGAAUAUUCAUGCCUGCAACAGUAGUUCAUUGCAAUAUGCUUUUAAAAAAUAUAUUUUUAAAUUUUUAUCAUUAUAUUAUCAAAAUUAUUGAAAAACAUAAAAGGAAUUUUAAUUUAAUAUUUUUUUCAAAAUAAAUAUAUUUUUUAAACAUUCAAUAUCAAAAGCUGCUGCAAUUUCAAGUCCCAAACACCACCUUAAACUUAUGGACAAGAAAGUAAUUUUUUUAAAAUAUUUUUUUAUUUAAAAAUAUAUUGAAAUAAAAUAUUUUUUUAAAAUUUAUUUUUAAUACUAUUUAAAAAAUACAUAAAAAAUUAAUUUAAAAUAAAUAAAAAAAUAAAAUAAAUAUUAAAGUUAUUUAAUAAUAUUUUUAUCGCACAGGCAGGCCAACGUUUCGUUCGCAGCAAAUAAGUUAAUGGAUUGUGACAGCAUUUCAAUUCUUAUACCCAUAUAAGAUGUUCUUCAAAAUAGUAAGAAACGCGGUAAAAAAUGUGUAUUUAAGGGCUAAACGACACCUCUUGGGUUGUUCUCGUUUUAUAUUUGAUGGGUAAUAACCCUGCUAAACGCACCUCUGGGGUUGUUGGCCUGGGUUUUGGUAAGGGCUAGGUUCCCUUGCUGUUUUUUUCUUCUUCUUUUUAAUUCUUUUCUUUUUCUCGAAGCAUGGAACAAUAAAAAAAACAAUUUAGUUCAUAAAUAUUUUUAAAUUUUAUUCUCUCGUAUUUAAGAAUUAUUAUGUUGUGGCUUGCUAGGUAGGCUCAUCGUGCAACCAAAUUAAUCAAACCCAAAAAAAAGAAGAGAUUUUGAUCAUCAUCCCUCUCUGCUUUUUCUUAAGGAAAUAUAUUGAUUCUCCCUCUAAUCUAAACUAAUGGCAAGAAUUUCUAUAUCAAUGUGAGUUUCCAAUAAAUUAUUUUAGGUAUUUUCAAAAUUAUAAAAGUAUCUUUCAAUAGAAAAACAAAACAAUAUAUAUUCUAAACACAAAUAUAUGAUACAAAUAGCGUAUCGCUGAGUGGUGAGUGGUGAAUAUCCCUUCUUAGCAUGACGUGCUGGAAAGCAUAUACUAGCUAGUGCAGAAUCUUUCAUAGACAGCCAGAAGUCAAGGAAUGAAGUGCACUUGCACUAGUAACUAAUCUUCUUCAUUCAAUCGGAAUAACUUGUUGGUUACCCGAUGUCUUGGGUUUCUGAGUGUUUUUCAAAGAUUUUCAAACAUGUCUUAACUACGUACUGAUCAUUUCCAUGAUCGGAAAAAGAGAAUAGUAAUCGACAUGCAAAAUUGCAAAUAGAUGUGUUUCUCGCUUCUAUAUAUAAUCACAUUAUACAUUAUGCUCUAAUAUGACUGCACAAUCAUUGAAAGCUACAGUUAACUAUUAGCGUAAUCAAAUUUGAUUUCAUCUUCUGUUCCAAGAAGCCAAGGAAAGAGUUAUAAUUGAAACAUUGUAUGCAUUUGACCGUCAGCCAACUAACAGUCCAUCACUAAAAACUUUGAAUGCAACUCCUUAUAAAUGCUAAAUGUAUCUGCAUCCUGUCUUUCCAUGCUCACCACUCAUUCCCAAACUCAUCAAGUCCUCUACUGUUCAUCAAUCUCUUCCGUCUCUCUGCCUGUAAGAAAACCCCGGAAGAGAAAAAUGGUUUCCGAGUCUCUUGGCCAUCUCUUCCUUGUUUCUUUCCCAGCCCAAGGCCAUGUAAAUCCUUUACUUAGACUUGGAAAAAUUCUUGCCUCCAAAGGCUUCCUUGUCACCUUCUCCACUACUGAAACCAUUGGCAAACAGAUGAGAAAAGCCAGUGGCUUCAUAGAUAAGCUGACCCCGUUUGGUGAUGGCUUUAUCCGGUUUGAGUUCUUUGAAGAUGGAUGGACAGAGGACGAGGAUAGGCACCAAGACCUUGAUCAAUACUUACUUCAACUUGAGCUUGUUGGUAAACAAGUAAUUCCUCAAAUGAUCAAGAAAAAUGAAGAGCAAGGGCGGCCUGUUUGUUGCCUCAUAAACAACCCUUUCAUUCCUUGGGUUACAGAUGUGGCCACAAGUCUAGGUCUCCCUUCUGCAAUGCUUUGGGUUCAAUCCUGCGCUUGUUUUGCCUCAUAUUACCAUUUCUAUCACGGUACUGUACCUUUCCCUGAUGAGGAGCACCCCGAGAUAGAUGUCCAAUUACCAUGCAUGCCUCUCCUAAAACAUGAUGAAGUGCCUAGUUUCUUACAUCCUACAACUCCUUAUGCUAUCUUGAGGAGGGCUAUUUUAGGUCAGUACAAAAAUCUUGACAAGCCAUUUUGCAUCCUGAUGGAAACAUUCGAUGAGCUUGAACCAGAGCUUAUCAAGCACAUGUCCGAAAUCUUCCCCAUCAAGGCCGUUGGGCCACUAUUCAGAAAUCCCAAGGCACCACAGACAACGGUCCAUGGAGACUUGCUGAAGGCAGAUGACUGCAUCGAAUGGCUUGACACAAAGCCACCUUCAUCAGUUGUUUAUGUGUCUUUCGGUAGUGUCGUGCAAUUGAAGCAAGACCAAUGGAACGAGAUCGCUUAUGGGUUAUUGAAUUCGGGCGUCAACUUCUUGUUAGUUAUGAAACCAGCCCACAAAGAUGCAGGACAUGACCUCCUUGUUCUGCCAGAUGGGUUCUCGGAGAAAGCAGGAGACAGGGGCAAGGUGGUGCAAUGGAGUCCUCAAGAGAAGGUUUUAGCUCACCCGUCAGUUGCGUGCUUCGUAACACAUUGUGGGUGGAACUCUACUAUGGAAGCACUCACAUCAGGCAUGCCAGUGGCGGCUUUCCCUCAAUGGGGUGAUCAAGUAACUAAUGCAAAAUAUUUGGUCGACAUCCUUAAGGUUGGUGUGAGAAUGAGCCGCGGAGAAGCAGAGAACAAACUGAUUACUCGUGAUGAGAUAGAGAAAUGCUUGUUGGAGGCCACAGCGGGACCUAAGGCAAUGGAAAUGAAGGAGAAAGCAAUGAAAUGGAAGGAGGCAGCGGAGGCAGCAGUGGCUGAGGGUGGUUCCUCCGACUGGAAUAUACGAUAUUUUACGGACGAUAUUGUAAAAGCGAAUGAGUCUGAGAUUGCUGGGAAGUGCAUUGGUUCUAAUGAGUUUCCAGUGUCGGUAGUAGUGAAGUCCAACGAGAAAGUGGCUGAACUGGUGGGGUCAUCGGCAUGAGGAGAUUUGCUAUAUGUGCUGUGAACGUGGAACUGGUUUAAUCCAGUGCUGUUAGUAUGGUGAAAUUAAUUACUCUUGUUAUGUAGUUGUCUACUUUUUACUUCUUUUAAUUAGCUAUUAAUAACAUAUAGCCAAGUGCCAUAUAAAGGCCAUAUGUAUCAUUUUAAGGUAUUGUUGAGUUGUUGUUGUAGUGUAAUUUCAAAAGUAACAAUUGUACCUGAUUUCUUGUGUUUUUAAGGUAUCGAUCGACAAUGCCGCUGGUAUUGUGUUUGCUAAAAAAAAAUAUAUUUUUAAAGUUAUUUUUUCUAUAUUUUUAUAUGAUUUUGAUAUAAUAAUAUUAAUAAUAAAAUUUAAAAAAUAAAAAAUAAAUUAUUUUAAUAUAUUUUCAAGUAAAAAAUAUUUUGAAAAUCAACCAUUAUCACAUACCACUAAAUUUGAUUUUUUAUUAAAUUAAUUUUUUUAUAUUUUUGAAUUGUUUUGAUGUGCUGAUGUUAAAAAUAAAAUAUAUAUUAUUUUAAUGUAUUUCUGAACGAAAAACACUUUAAAAAACAACCACUAACACAAUAUUAAACAUUAGUGUAUUACAACAUAUACACCAUUUAUGCAUCUUUUUCUUCCUCACUAGUGUUUAAAUUAACAUUAUUAGCAAAGAAAAAAAAAUAGCAAACGAGCAUGUUUUUCAAAAUAAUUUAAUUCAUAAAAUAUUUUAAAUUUUAUUUUCUUGUAUUUAAGAAUUAUUAUGUUGCGGCUAUCUAGGUAGACUCAUCGUGCAACCAAAUUAAUCCAACCCAAAAUAAAGAGAGAUUUUGAUCAUUAUCUCUCUCUGUCUUUUCUUAAGGAAAUAUAUUGAUUCUCCCUCUAAUCUAGACUAAUGGCAAGAAUUUCUAUAUCAAUGUGAGUUUCCAAUAAAUUAUUUUAAGUAUUUUCAAAAUUAUAAAACAAUCUUUCAAUAGAAAAACAAAACAAUAUUCCAAACACAAAUAUAUAAUACAAAGUUUUCAUAUUGAGUAGCAUGAAAAAAAAUUCCAAUCUCAACCAAUCCUUAAUGUUUUGGAAUGCAUAAUUCACUGCUAUCAUUUAUUAACUUUAAUAUAAUUUAUUUAUAUAAAAAAAGUAUGAUUUUGUUUUCUAUAAAAAAAUAGUACUCUGCAAAUCACAAAUGACACACACAAGUUGAUCAGAACCAUUCACCAGCACAAAACACUAUUAGAUGUACACUAUUCACGUCUUCUGCAGAGUGAAGCAGACCUCGAACUCAUGUUCAAAACAGCUGUAAUAACUGGUAGCUGUUGAAGUGGCACCAUUUAACUGGUCUCUCGUUCUGCUUCAAAGGAUGGCCUCACUUACAGAUUUGAAACUGGAAGCCUGUCUUUUUUUUGGCUCUGAAAGGGAUUCUCUUGUCUGCUUUUGUAGGUCUGUAAUUUUUUGGGAGCUUCGGCUUCUCUCAUCAGGAUUCAAUUGGAUGUUGCUGGGAACUCCGAACAAUACAAAUAUCGUAUUGCUGAGUGGUGAAUAUCCCUUCUUAGCAUGACGUGCUGGAAAGCAUAUACUGGCUAGUGCAGAAUCUUUCAUAGACAAACCAGAAGUCAAGGAAUGAAGUGCACUCGCAAUAGUAACUAAUCUUCUUCAUUCAAUCGGUAUAACUUGUUGGUUACCCGAUGUCUUGGGUUUCUGAGUGUUGCAAAAUCAUUGAAAGCUACAGUUAACUAUUAGCGUAAUCAAAUUUGAUUUCAUCUUCUGUUCCAAGAAGCCAAGGAAAGAGUUAUAAUUGAAACAUUGUAUGCAUUUGACCGUCAGCCAACUAACAGUCCAUCACUAAAAACUUUGAAUGCAACUCCUUAUAAAUGCUAUAUGUAUCUGCAUCCUUUCUUUCCAUGCUCACCACUCCUUCCCAAACUCAUCAAGUCCUCUACUGUUCAUCAAUCUCUUCCGUCUCUCUGCCUGUAAGAAAACCCCGGAAGAGAAAAAUGGUUUCCGAGUCUCUUGGCCAUCUCUUCCUUGUUUCUUUCCCAGCCCAAGGCCAUGUAAAUCCUUUACUUAGACUUGGAAAAAUUCUUGCCUCCAAAGGCUUCCUUGUCACCUUCUCCACUGCAGAAACCACUGGCGAACAGAUGAGAAAAGCCAGUGGCAUCAUAGAUAAGCUGACCCCGUUUGGUGAUGGCUUUAUCCGGUUUGAAUUCUUUGUAGAUGGAUGGGAAGAGGACGAGCCUAGGCGCCAAGACCUUGAUCAAUACUUACCUCAACUUGAGCUUGUUGGUAAACAAGUAAUUCCUCAAAUGAUCAAGAAAAAUGAAGAGCAAGGGCGGCCUGUUUCUUGCCUCAUAAACAACCCUUUCAUUCCUUGGGUUACAGAUGUGGCUACAAGUCUAGGUCUCCCUUCUGCAAUGCUUUGGGUUCAAUCCUGCGCUUGUUUUGCCUCAUAUUACCAUUACUAUCACGGUACUGUACCUUUCCCUGAUGAGGAGCACCCCGAGAUAGAUGUCCAAUUACCAUGCAUGCCUCUCCUAAAACAUGAUGAAGUGCCUAGUUUCUUGCAUCCCACAACUCCUUAUCCUUUCUUGAGGAGGGCUAUUUUAGGUCAGUACAAAAAUCUUGACAAACCAUUUUGCAUCCUGAUGGAAACAUUCGAAGCGCUUGAACCAGAGCUUAUCAAGCACAUGUCCGAAAUCUUCCCCAUCAAGGCCGUUGGGCCACUAUUCAGAAAUCCCAAGGCACCACAGACAACGGUCCAUGGAGACUUGCUGAAGGCAGAUGAUUGCAUCGAAUGGCUUGACACAAAGCCACCUUCAUCAGUUGUUUAUGUGUCUUUCGGUAGUGUCGUCAAUUGAAGCAAGACCAAUGGAACGAGAUCGCUUAUGGGUUAUUGAAUUCGGGCGUCAACUUCUUGUUAGUUAUGAAACCAGCCCACAAAGAUGCAGGACAAGACCUCCUUGUUCUGCCAGAUGGGUUCUUGGAGAAAGCAGGAGACAGGGGCAAGGUGGUGCAAUGGAGUCCUCAAGAGAAGGUUUUAGCUCACCCAUCAGUUGCGUGCUUUGUAACUCAUUGUGGGUGGAACUCUACUAUGGAAGCACUCACAUCAGGCAUGCCAGUGGUGGCUUUCCCUCAAUGGGGUGAUCAAGUAACUAAUGCAAAAUAUUUGGUCGACAUCCUUAAGGUUGGUGUGAGAAUGAGCCGCGGAGAAGCGGAGAACAAACUGAUUACUCGUGAUGAGAUAGAGAAAUGCUUGUUGGAGGCCACAGCGGGACCUAAGGCAGUGGAAAUGAAGGAGAAAGCAAUGAAAUGGAAGGAGGCAGCGGAGGCAGCAGUGGCUGAGGGUGGUUCCUCCGACUGGAAUAUACGAUAUUUUACGGACGAUAUUGUAAAAGCGAAU